Molecule: long non-coding RNA, 700 nt
Organism: Mesocricetus auratus (golden hamster)
Lineage: Eukaryota; Metazoa; Chordata; Mammalia; Rodentia; Cricetidae
Exons: 3
Source: RefSeq, a predicted model, not a curated record
CAAGAUGUAACCGCCAUAGGUGUAAGAAGCCCGGAAACUUUUCUUGGCUCUUGCCAGGAGAGUCCAAAGAAAAACUGUUUUCAACCUCUGGUUCAAUGGAUGAAUUUGAAAUGAGAGAGAAGCCGUUAAUCUUGGCUUCUGCUCAGAGCCCGGCCUGUUAUCACUCCUCAUCCUCCACUAGACUCUUCCCUGGCCAGGCAAGACAAUGAAAUCAUCUAGCCUUAACUGAUGAUGUGAAUCUCCUGAGCUUCAAUAUGCGCUAGACUACAGCUGCCAUCCCUGGUCCAUUGCUAGUGUCAAGAGGAAGAAGAAUCCAUACAGAUCUCCAGGUGAGACAGAAGAGCACACUUCCUACUGUCUACCCCACAUGUUAACCACAUCUUCUGGGGAACUGCCCUCUUCUUGUCGACCCAGCAGUGUGGAAAUAUGCUCGCCUCUACCUCGCAUACAUUAAGGUAGAAGACAAAAGAGGAGAACGUCCCUGGAUUUCUUUUCCUGGAACCUUUGCUAGGUGGAGGCUCAGAGGCAGCAAGAUAUUCCUUCAUUAGCACUCCCUCAAUUCUUGGAAUCACACUUUGGAAUACAUACUAUGGAGGCACUAUGUAUGUGCCUCCCGUAUCAAGGUACCAAGCAGAUCAGAAUAGGAAAACCCAGCACCAGUCUGGUUACCAGGAACCAAAUGGUCUCAGAAUCUGUACUA